Molecule: ribosomal RNA, 224 nt
Filed under: uncultured bacterium
Lineage: Bacteria
Description: partial 16S ribosomal RNA
Rfam family: Bacterial small subunit ribosomal RNA
Source: RNAcentral
GAUCCUGGCUCAGGAUGAACGCUAGCUACAGGCUUAACACAUGCAAGUCGAGGGGCAGCAUGGAAGAAGCUUGCUUCUUCUGAUGGCGACCGGCGCACGGGUGCGUAACGCGUAUCAAACCUGCCUCAUACUCGGGGAUAGCCUUGCGAAAGUAAGAUUAAUACCCGAUGUUGUUAUGUUACCGCAUGGUGAUAUAACCAAAGAUUUAUCGGUAUGAGAUGGUG